GGUAAUACCGGAUGAGAUCGCAAGACUGUGAUAUUGCGAGGAAAGAUGCUACGGCAUCGCCUGAAGAUGGGCCCGCGUCCCAUUAGCUAGUUGGUAGUGUAACGGACUACCAAGGCGAAGAUGGGUAGCCGGCCUGAGAGGGUGAACGGCCACACUAGGACUGAGAUACGGGCCCAGACUCCUACGGGAGGCAGCAGCUAAGAAUAUUCCGCAAUGGACGAAAGUCUGACGGAGCGACGCCGCGUGGAUGAGGAAGGCCGAAAGGUUGUAAAAUCCUUUUAUUUGCUGAAGAAUAAGCAAGGUAGGGAAUGACCGGGUGAUGACGUUAGGCAAUGAAUAAGCCCCGGCUAAUUACGUGCCAGCAGCCGCGGUAACACGUAAGGGGCGAGCGUUGUUCGGAAUUAUUGGGCGUAAAGGGCGCGUAGGCGGCCUUGUAAGUCUGAUGUGAAAACCCCGGGCUCAACCCGGGACGUGCAUUGGAAACCUGCGAGGCUUGAGUCACGGAGGGGGAAUCGGAAUUCCUGGUGUAGGGGUGAAAUCUGUAGAUAU
Molecule: ribosomal RNA, 549 nt
Filed under: uncultured bacterium
Lineage: Bacteria
Description: bacterial SSU rRNA
Rfam family: Bacterial small subunit ribosomal RNA
Source: RNAcentral